UGAACACCAUUGAAAGUCAAUGGAGGACAAAUCCGUUUUCUAUUAAAAAAAAUUAUAUAUACCACUGCAAAUUUUUUUUAAACUGGAUGCCCACGUGAUCCAACAGCGAAAGUUCAACCUGCAAUUGAAAGGUUGAGAUUGCAGAGAUUGAUAUAUCUGUGUAUUACAAAGAUCUCAGAUCAAAAAUGCUUCACUUACCAAACUAUGAUAUGAAGAAAUUUAGGAUUGCGAUUCUAGAUUUCUAGCAGAAACUAAAAAUAAACCUAAUCUUUAUAACCUAUCAGUUACAAUAUAUAUAUAUGUUAUUAAUUAUUUAGAAUCAGGAUGCUUCAGGGAAAAUCAUUUUCUGACUAGAUUAGCUAAAUAAAACUUAAUUUAUAUCAGAGUUCAAUAGAAGCAGGUUAAUAAAAAAUAAAUGACCAUUGACUACUGGGCAGCACAAUGAAGAGUUUCCAUUCUUGCUAUAGCUGAUAAUUCCCCAAAGGUUAAGCCACAUAGGAUUCGAUAAAGAUCCUUUGCCAUUAGACAUCCCUGAGUUGUUCUUCUAUGGCACAAUUCAUAGUGGCGGGUAAACAGAAGAUGAGCCAAAGCACAUGCUCACUCGACAGCAGAAAUGUAUUCGAGUAUAAGCUGUUCCCCACAGAAACUGUAAGACCUAUCCAAGUGGAAGCACUCAAGCAUGUAGCAUGUAAAUUUCUUAAUAUUUCUGUAUGGGCUUGUUCUUUACAUCCUCAAUUGAAGUGGGAUACACGCUAACAUGGACAUAGUUUGGCUAAGCAAAAGUGCGCGGGAAAAAAACAAAAUACCAAAAGCAACAAUUUAACAUUAAGUGGCCCUCUAUUUUUCUGCCUAACACUGGUUCACUCAAAGCAGCUGAAGUAGUACUGGUAUAAAUAAGGCUUUAGUUCCUUGCGUAUUGGAAGAAGGUUACUGAGAAACAGCAAGCAAACAAAUUUUUACAACAGACGAGCAGCAAGUUCGGAAAUGCUAAAAAGCCAUUUGCAAAGGGAAAAAAAAAAAAAAAAAAUCACUGGGCUAAACUGGUGAAAAAUGGCACUAUCAAUAUAAACACUAUGGAAGGGGUUGGAAGCACUUGACUCCAGUUAGUGUUUGUGCACAUUUGCUGCCAGGUGUCAAGGGAAAAGUACUGUCAAGAGCAGUAUUAUGAGUUCAGUGUUAUUCACCCGACGUCCAAAAACGAGGUCCGUUACAUUAACCCGAGCCCCGGCUAAGGGUGCUCAAGGCCGAGUUACAACUUCUAUGAAGGGUGCAGCAUUUACAGACAGGGAAAUGAGAUAUUUACAUAUAUAGAAUGAAGAUGGAUCACCCCAACUGGGCUCCGUUAGGAAAAAACUCCAUCAAAAUGGAUUACAUGAGUGCAACACAGCUUCAUCAUGACUUUAUUGCCACAUGUAAGUCCAAAACUCUGGACAUGUCACCAGAGAGCAUGUGCAAACAUAAGAGAAGUGGCAAUGGGGGAAGGAUGGAGGUAGUGAGGAGCAGAGAACCUCUUACUGCAGGAGACGGUAGGUGACUUCAGAAAACACACUCCACACAAUUUACCUUAUUUGUGCUUCCAAUUCCAAGAAUCCAUUCGUUGAGGCUUUUAGUUUUAAUUUUGCUAAUUCAUUCAUAUAACUACUGCUAGAAACACCACAUCUAAGAGCAACUGGGGCUAAUUUUAUGUCAAGUUAAAAAAACAAAAAAAAAUAAAAAGAAAAACCCACUAACUGGUGACUGGUCACCCCAGAAGCGAGGAGGAUAAAUAGACAUUCUAACCUCUGGAACAGCUAAGAGUUUUUGCUUUGGUUUUUAAGCAAAGGCAUCCCUGUUUAUCUCAUGGGCCGGCCACAUCACUGCACAAGGUGUUGUGAAAUAUCGUAAUGGUACGUGCAAAGAGAUGGAACUGGGUGCCAGCUCUUUCCUCAAAAUGGAGACAAAUUCAUUUCCCAGAAAACAAAGAAAAAACAAAAAAAACAACUUGUGUUCUAAUGAGCUGCUAAACGUAACUAAACCAGUGCAUAAUACCAGCAGUGUCAUCAGUCUUGGCCCUCAGUACUUAAAUGUUAGUGUUUGUGCUUUAAGUAAUUACAGUGAAAUUAAUUUCAGUCUGAGAACACAAUAACCCUCUAAACCGUUGAUUUGUUCUACAUACUUAGUAGUUGCCUCAUUAUUUACUGCUAUAAUACCCCACCAUUUUGAUGGUACUAAUCUAAUGAUUAGCCCACUCCACGCUUGCUAUUAUUGAGCUCUCAGCACUGGGACAAUGAACAUAGGGACUAUCAGUCCAAGUUUGGGCUUUGCAUUUUUGGUUUACAGGCUGACAUUUGUUGGAGGAAAAAAAAAAAAGUGAACAAAGAUAACACUAUCGCCACGUUUCGAUGAUUUAUGGAUAUAUUGUAUUGCAAUUAAAUUAGAUGCAAACCUUAGAAUGUAAAAAAAAAAAAUAAACAAAAUAUUGCUAGAACAGAUUGGAUUUAUGCCAUAAAUUUGGCUACAAGUCACAUGAAUGGCUUUGUAGGCCAAUAUCAGCAACCAUGCAAACAUUUCUGGUAGCCCACUUUGAAUGCACGCCACAUACAUUGACAACCGCUUCAACACUUGAUGUGCUUCUGAACCUUGUCCAAAUUUAAACAUUUAAUUUUUUCAGAAUUUCACAUGUGAAAACUCUAGUAGUAGUUUUCCUGCUUUGGUCCAGUUUGGGAAAUGUACUUUGUUCCAUAUUGCAUCAAUAUGUUGCCUCACUGCCUUCAAACAUUGAGCGUGACAUUUCGGCUUCUCAAGAGGUGUACAGUACAUGAUAAAGCUUAACAGGCCUCUGAAGAGAAGACAAGAAAAGCAGAACACUGAAUUUAACCAUAUUUCAUAUGUUAUUUGUACCCAAAGUUUGGAACAUACAAUUGUGCCUGCAUAUUUAAAAAAAAUGCAACGGUUAGUGGUAAAUAAAAAAUAGGUCAAUUUUCUUGCCGCUGGUAUGAACGCCUUAAUUCAAACCGAUGGCCACCAGCCAUUACUUAACCCAAGAAGUGGCAAUCGCAUUUCAAUUUCAUUUUAAAUAUCUUGGUAUAUUACGUCAGAGGAUACAUUCAGCAAUAUGGCUCACGACAGCUAUCCAAACGGAUGUAGCUCCUUCUUUUAUACAGUGGCAGUGCAAGUAAACCUGUUUGUGAAAUGCAUUUGUGCUGUUUAGAAUUUUUUUUGUCUUUUUAAUUUUAAAAUUCUUUCCCAUUCACUUUCAAAACAUCAACAUCUCCAUAUGUAUCGUCUCUCCCACUGGAGAGUAAGCGCAGCAGUGAAGGACAUAGAUCAGCUCCUUCAUGCCCUUCCUUCACUUGUGUUGUUAAGGGAAAUCAAACCCUUAUACACCUUAACCCUGCACUGUGGUACUGACCCUUGUUCCACUGCAGCAGCAAUGACUUCUCGGUACCAGCAACAGUGACAGAGUCAUGAGAAAGUGCUUAUUAAUGAAGCAAGUGCUUUGUAUUAGGAGCUGAAAGAAACUUCCAUUAUCAGAGUGGCACAAAAGGGAGGACCCAAUGAAAGGUCUAGAAGACAUUUUUACCAGUCACCAGUGUUCAGUUUGGGUGAUAAUACACUGGGACAAAAAUUUAAAAAAAAUUAAAAAAAA
Bufo bufo (common toad) is the source of this 3628-nucleotide long non-coding RNA. RefSeq lists it as uncharacterized. The transcript has 2 exons. The record is from RefSeq and is a predicted model, not a curated record. NCBI's taxonomy places the organism in Eukaryota, Metazoa, Chordata, Amphibia, Anura, Bufonidae.